UCGCAAAAGGCCGCUCGAUUCCGAUCCGGAAAAUGAACAAACAAAACGCUCACAUUUCAGUUCCGCAGCAUUUCCGCAAAACCAAUGAAAAACUCUAAUUCAACACAAAUGUGAUAAAUAAAAUCAAAAGAAACACUGAUGUUGUGAUAAAAAACUGCAAUUAAAGAAUAUAAAGCGUAUUUUUAAUAUCAACAAAUCAAUAAGUGACAAAAGAAAAAAAUCCCAAUCAGAGAAGCAGUUCCACAAAUGAACCGUCAUACCAUCACAGAACUUGAACCAGCAACUGGAACUUCUAUCACAGAGCACUCAAGUCGCAGCUGAUCUGAAUUGAACUAAUCUGAACUGAACUGAACCGAACCAAACACACACACACACACACACGCGCAGAGUGGAGUGGAGUGAAGGAGUGGAAGGAGUGGAACCGAAGAGAAAUCAACUCAACUGCUGAAUGUUUUUGAAUUGGAAACGCGUAGAGUAGAGCAACAGUAGCAAAACUUAUCACAAAUAUAAAAACACAUACAACAAUCAACAGCAAUAUAAA
This is a long non-coding RNA of Drosophila grimshawi, 541 nucleotides long. RefSeq lists it as uncharacterized. The record is from RefSeq and is a predicted model, not a curated record. The transcript has 3 exons. Lineage: Eukaryota; Metazoa; Arthropoda; Insecta; Diptera; Drosophilidae.